GAGCGCCGUAGCAAUACGGAGCGGCAGACGGGAGAGUAACACGUGGGAACGUGCCCUUCAGUUCGGAACAACUCAGGGAAACUUGGGCUAAUACCGAAUACGUCCGUAAGGAGAAAGAUUUAUCGCUGAAGGAUCGGCCCGCGUCUGAUUAGCUAGUUGGUGGGGUAAUGGCUCACCAAGGCGACGAUCCGUAGCUGGUCUGAGAGGAUGAUCAGCCACACUGGGACUGAGACACGGCCCAGACUCCUACGGGAGGCAGCAGUGGGGAAUAUUGGACAAUGGGCGCAAGCCUGAUCCAGCCAUGCCGCGUGAGUGACGAAGGCCUUAGGGUUGUAAAGCUCUUUUGGCGGGGAAGAUAAUGACGGUACCCGCAGAAUAAGCUCCGGCUAACUUCGUG
This 397-nucleotide ribosomal RNA is filed under the name uncultured bacterium. Its description in RNAcentral is "bacterial SSU rRNA". It matches the Rfam family "Bacterial small subunit ribosomal RNA", at positions 64 to 507 of the family's 1533-position model. The record is from RNAcentral.